GUCUACGCCAUGCCACCCUGAACAUGCCUGAUCUCAUCUGAUCUCGGAAGCUAAGCAGGGUCGGGCCUGGUUAGUACUUGGAUGGGAGACCACCUAGGAAUACCAAAUGCUGUAGACA
This 118-nucleotide ribosomal RNA is filed under the name Pteropus alecto (black flying fox). Lineage: Eukaryota; Metazoa; Chordata; Mammalia; Chiroptera; Pteropodidae. The record is from RNAcentral.